GCANUGGGGGAACCCUGAUGCAGCGACGCCGCGUGAGCGAUGAAGCCCUUCGGGGUGUAAAGCUCUUUCGGCAGGGAAGAUUAUGACGGUACCUGCAGAAGCAGCUGCGGCUAACUACGUGCCAGCAGCCGCGGUAAUACGUAGGCAGCAAGCGUUGUUCGGAGUUACUGGGCGUAAAGGGUGUGUAGGUGGCGCGCUAAGUUCCGUGUGAAAUCUCCCGGCUCAACCGGGAGGGUGCGCGGAAAACUGGCGGGCUAGAGUACGGGAUGGGAGAGUAGAAUUCCUGGUGUAGCGGUGAAAUGCGUAGAUAUCAGGAGGAAUACCGGUGGUGUAGACGGCUCUCUGGACCGUAACUGACACUGAAACACGAAAGCGUGGGUAGCAAACAGGAUUAGAUACCCUGGUAGUCCACGCCCUAAACGAUGCAUAUUUGGUGUAGGUCAUUCAGUUGAUCUGUGCCGGAGCUAACGCGUUAAAUAUGCCGCCUGGGGAGUACAGUCGCAAGGCUGAAACUCAAAGAAAUUGACGGA
Molecule: ribosomal RNA, 530 nt
Filed under: uncultured bacterium
Lineage: Bacteria
Description: bacterial SSU rRNA
Rfam family: Bacterial small subunit ribosomal RNA
Source: RNAcentral